Molecule: ribosomal RNA, 609 nt
Filed under: uncultured bacterium
Lineage: Bacteria
Description: bacterial SSU rRNA
Rfam family: Bacterial small subunit ribosomal RNA (bases 1-517)
Source: RNAcentral
CCUACGGGAGGCAGCAGUGGGGAAUAUUGGACAAUGGGCGAAAGCCUGAUCCAGCAAUGCCGCGUGAGUGAUGAAGGCCUUAGGGUUGUAAAGCUCUUUUACCAGGGAUGAUAAUGACAGUACCUGGAGAAUAAGCUCCGGCUAACUCCGUGCCAGCAGCCGCGGUAAUACGGAGGGAGCUAGCGUUGUUCGGAAUUACUGGGCGUAAAGCGUACGUAGGCGGUUAUUCAAGUCAGAGGUGAAAGCCUGGAGCUCAACUCCAGAACUGCCUUUGAAACUAGAUAGCUAGAAUCUUGGAGAGGUGAGUGGAAUUCCGAGUGUAGAGGUGAAAUUCGUAGAUAUUCGGAAGAACACCAGUGGCGAAGGCGACUCACUGGACAAGUAUUGACGCUGAGGUACGAAAGCGUGGGGAGCAAACAGGAUUAGAUACCCUGGUAGUCCACGCCGUAAACGAUGAUAACUAGCUGUUCGGGCUCUACGAGCUUGNGUGCGCNGCUACGACAUUAAGUUAUCCGUCCGUCGGGUAGGUACGGUCGCGAAGAAUUAAACGUAACAAAUAGAAGUAGACGGCGUGAGACGUAGCCGACGACGACGACGAGGGAGGUUAGG